RNAcentral lists this ribosomal RNA (544 nucleotides) under uncultured bacterium. RNAcentral describes it as "bacterial SSU rRNA". It matches the Rfam family "Bacterial small subunit ribosomal RNA", at positions 108 to 689 of the family's 1533-position model. The record is from RNAcentral.
GAGUAACACGUGACUACCUACCCUCGAGUGGGGGAUAACCCCGGGAAACCGGGGCUAAUACCGCAUAACAUCGCAAGAUCAAAGGAGCAAUUCGCUUGAGGAGGGGGUCGCGGCUGAUUAGCUAGUUGGUGGGGUAACGGCCCACCAAGGCGAUGAUCGGUAGCCGGCCUGAGAGGGCGCACGGCCACACUGGAACUGAAACACGGUCCAGACUCCUACGGGAGGCAGCAGUGGGGAAUUUUGCGCAAUGGGGGAAACCCUGACGCAGCAACGCCGCGUGGAGGAUGAAGUCCCUUGGGACGUAAACUCCUUUCGACCCGGACGAUAAUGACGGUACGGGUGGAAGAAGCACCGGCUAACUUCGUGCCAGCAGCCGCGGUAAUACGAGGGGUGCGAGCGUUGUUUUGAAUAUUUGGGGCGUAAAGGGCGCGUAGGCGGCGCGGUAAGUCACCUGUGAAAUCUCCCGGCUCAACUGGGAGCUUGCAGGCAAAUCUGCCGUGCUCGAGUGUGAAAAAGUGCGUGAAUCCCCGUUGACGAUGAAUGC